UACAGAGGUUGCAAGCGUUAAUCGGAAUGACUGGGCGUAAAGGGUGCGUAGGUGGCUAUUUAAGUUAGAUGUGAAAUCCCCGGGCUUAACCUGGGAACUGCAUUUAAUACUGGAUGGCUAGAGUGUGGGAGAGGUAAGUGGAAUUUCCGGUGUAGCGGUGAAAUGCGUAGAUAUCGGAAGGAACACCAGUGGCGAAGGCGGCUUACUGGCCUAACACUGACACUGAGGCACGAAAGCGUGGGGAGCAAACAGG
RNAcentral lists this ribosomal RNA (253 nucleotides) under uncultured bacterium. RNAcentral describes it as "partial 16S ribosomal RNA". It matches the Rfam family "Bacterial small subunit ribosomal RNA", at positions 524 to 776 of the family's 1533-position model. The record is from RNAcentral.